This 447-nucleotide ribosomal RNA is filed under the name uncultured bacterium. Its description in RNAcentral is "bacterial SSU rRNA". It matches the Rfam family "Bacterial small subunit ribosomal RNA", at positions 329 to 793 of the family's 1533-position model. The record is from RNAcentral.
CGCCAGACUCCUACGGGAGGCAGCAGUGGGGAAUAUUGCACAAUGGGGGAAACCCUGAUGCAGCGACGCCGCGUGAGCGAUGAAGUAUUUCGGUAUGUAAGGCUCUAUCAGCAGGGAAGAAGAUGACGGUACCUGACUAAGAAGCCCCGGCUAACUACGUGCCAGCAGCCGCGGUAAUACGUAGGGGGCAAGCGUUAUCCGGAUUUACUGGGUGUAAAGGGAGCGUAGACGGCGAUGCAAGCCAGAUGUGAAAGCCCGGGGCUCAACCCCGGGACUGCAUUUGGAACUGUGUGGCUGGAGUGUCGGAGAGGCAGGCGGAAUUCCUAGUGUAGCGGUGAAAUGCGUAGAUAUUAGGAGGAACACCAGUGGCGAAGGCGGCCUGCUGGACGAUGACUGACGUUGAGGCUCGAAAGCGUGGGGAGCAAACAGGAUUAGAUACCCUUGUAU